This 912-nucleotide ribosomal RNA is filed under the name uncultured archaeon. RNAcentral describes it as "bacterial SSU rRNA". It matches the Rfam family "Archaeal small subunit ribosomal RNA", at positions 1 to 922 of the family's 1478-position model. The record is from RNAcentral.
UUCCGGUUGAUCCUGCCGGACCCGACUGCUAUCAGAGUGGGACUAAGCCAUGCGAGUCAACAUAGCAAUAUGUGGCAUACGGCUCAGUAACACGUAGUCAACAUGCCCAGGGGACGUGGAUAACCUCGGGAAACUGAGGAUAAACCGCGAUAGGUCAUCACUUCUGGAAUGGGUAAUGACUUAAACCUAUAUGGCCCCUGGAUUGGACUGCGGCCGAUCAGGCUGUUGGUGAGGUAAUGGCCCACCAAACCUGUAACCGGUACGGGCUCUGAGAGGAGGAGCCCGGAGAUGGGCACUGAGACAAGGGCCCAGGCCCUAUGGGGCGCAGCAGGCGCGAAACCUCUGCAAUAGGCGAAAGCUUGACAGGGUUACUCUGAGUGAUUUCCGUUAAGGAGAUCUUUUGGCACCUCUAAAAAUGGUGCAGAAUAAGGGGUGGGCAAGUCUGGUGUCAGCCGCCGCGGUAAUACCAGCACCCCGAGUGGUCGGGACGUUUAUUGGGCCUAAAGCAUCCGUAGCCGGUUCUACAAGUCUUCCGUUAAAUCCACCUGCUUAACAGAUGGGCUGCGGAAGAUACUAUAGAGCUAGGAGGCGGGAGAGGCAAGCGGUACUCGAUGGGUAGGGGUAAAAUCCGUUGAUCCAUUGAAGACCACCAGUGGCGAAGGCGGCUUGCCAGAACGCGCUCGACGGUGAGGGAUGAAAGCUGGGGGAGCAAACCGGAUUAGAUACCCGGGUAGUCCCAGCUGUAAACGAUGCAGACUCGGUGAUGAGUUGGCUUAUUGCUAACUCAGUGCCGCAGGGAAGCCGUUAAGUUUGCCGCCUGGGGAGUACGGUCGCAAGACUGAAACUUAAAGGAAUUGGCGGGGGAGCACCACAAGGGGUGAAGCCUGCGGUUCAAUUGGAUUCAACGCCGGA